This 104-nucleotide microRNA precursor is filed under the name Marmota monax (woodchuck). The record is from RNAcentral. Lineage: Eukaryota; Metazoa; Chordata; Mammalia; Rodentia; Sciuridae.
AUGUGAACUACCUGGGGAUCUUGUUAAAACACAGAUGCUAACUCAGGAUGUCUGGAGUAUGGCCCGAGAUCUGCAUUUCUAACAAGCUCCAAAAUGCUAUUGAU